GGGUAGGCGUUCGGGUAUCCAUUCGGGUUUGGUUCAGUUCGGAUCUAUUCGAAUUUCAUGAUUAAAAAUUUCAGCCACAUUCAGGUAUUUAUAAAUUUUAAUUCGGGUUCGGUUGGAUCUUUACGGGUUCGGAUAAUCCGUUUAAAUUAUUAAAAAAAAAAUUAAAUUCAUAUAUACUUUCAGUUUCUAAAAAACUAAAAAUAAAAAUAACAUAUUACAUAUAAAUUUGAAUAAUGUACGUAUGUCAAAAUAGCUAAACUUAAUAUAUAAAUUGGUUUAGUAUGAAUAUUUGGAACAAAAAUCAAUAGAUGUUUCAAGUAUUUUGGUGCUUUGAGUAUUGUUUAACUAUUUUAGACAUUCAUUUUGGAAAAUUUUAAAAUAUCUUAUAUAUUUUGGAUACUUUUUAUAUAUUAAAUCUGAAAAUGAUUGAUAUAUUUAAGUAUAUAAAUCUGUUUCGGAUACAUUCGGAUAUUCGAAAUACUUCGGUUCGGAUCGGAUUCGGUUCUCUACAUACCAAAAUUUUGAACUCAUUCGGAUA
This 538-nucleotide long non-coding RNA is filed under the name Brassica napus (rape). Its description in RNAcentral is "long non-coding RNA (BNAP_LNC024802)". The record is from RNAcentral. Lineage: Eukaryota; Viridiplantae; Streptophyta; Magnoliopsida; Brassicales; Brassicaceae.